RNAcentral lists this ribosomal RNA (497 nucleotides) under Pseudotrochalus sp. DA1670. RNAcentral's name for it is "partial 16S large subunit ribosomal RNA". The stretch from base 371 to 497 matches the Rfam family "Bacterial large subunit ribosomal RNA", at positions 2473 to 2600 of the family's 2925-position model. The record is from RNAcentral. Lineage: Eukaryota; Metazoa; Arthropoda; Insecta; Coleoptera; Scarabaeidae.
UUUAAAGUCUAAUCUGCCCUAUGAGGAGUUAAAUGGCCGCGGUACUUUGACCGUGCAAAGGUAGCAUAAUAAUUAGUUUUUUAAUUGAAAGCUGGAAUGAAUGAUUGGACGAGAAAAUUUCUGUCUCAAAUUAAUUUUAUUAGAAUUUUAUUUUUAAGUUAAAAAGCUUAAAUAUUUUUAGAAGACGAGAAGACCCUAUAGAGUUUUAUAUAUUUAAAUAUAUUUAAAUUUUUAGAAUUUUAUUUUUGUUAUAUUUAAAUAUAUUUUGUUGGGGUGAUAGAAAAAUUAAAUUAACUUUUUUUUAUAUUUUUACAUUGAUAUAUGAUUAAAUGAUCCAUUUUUUAUGAUUAUAANAUUAAAUUACCUUAGGGAUAACAGCGUAAUUAUUUUUUANAGUUCUUAUCGAGAAAAUANAUUGCGACCUCGAUGUUGGAUUAAAAUAAAUGUUUGGUGUAGGGGCUAAAUAAUUAGGUCUGUUCNACCUUUAAAAUUUUACA